GUUAGCGGCGGACGGGUGAGUAACACGUGGGCAACCUGCCCUGUAGACGGGGAUAACACCGAGAAAUCGGUGCUAAUACCGGAUAAUACGAAAGGCCGCAUGGUCUUUCGUUGAAAGGCGGCGCAAGCUGUCGCUACAGGAUGGGCCCGCGGCGCAUUAGCUAGUUGGUGAGGUAACGGCUCACCAAGGCGACGAUGCGUAGCCGACCUGAGAGGGUGAUCGGCCACACUGGGACUGAGACACGGCCCAGACUCCUACGGGAGGCAGCAGUAGGGAAUCUUCCGCAAUGGACGAAAGUCUGACGGAGCAACGCCGCGUGAGCGAAGAAGGCCUUCGGGUCGUAAAGCUCUGUUGUUAGGGAAGAACAAGUACCGCAGUCACUGGCGGUACCUUGACGGUACCUAACGAGGAAGCCACGGCUAACUACGUGCCAGCAGCCGCGGUAAUACGUAGGUGGCAAGCGUUGUCCGGAAUUAUUGGGCGUAAAGCGCGCGCAGGCGGUUCCUUAAGUCUGAUGUGAAAGCCCACGGCUCAACCGUGGAGGGUCAUUGGAAACUGGGGGACUUGAGUGCAAAAAAGGAGAGCGGAAUUCCACGUGUAGCGGUGAAAUGCGUAAAAAUGUGGAGGAACACCAGUGGCGAAGGCGGCUCUCUGGUCUGUAACUGACGCUAAGGCCCAAAGCGUGGGGAGCAAACAGGAUUAAAUACCCUGGUAGUCCCCGCCGUAAACGAUGAGUGGUAAGUGUUAAAGGGAUCCCCCCUUUAGUGCUGUAGCUAACCCAUUAACCACUCCCCCUGGGGAGUCCCCUCCCAAGAGUGAAACCCAAAGGAAUUGACGGGGGCCCCCCCAAGCGGGGGGCCAGGGGUUUAAUUGGAACCACCGCGAGGACCCUUCCCGGGUCUUGCCUUCCCCGGCCACCCCGGGGGUUGGGGCGUCCCCCCUUCGGGGGGACAGGGUGACAGGUGGUGCAUGGUUGUCGUCAGCUCGUGUCGUGAGAUGUUGGGUUAAGUCCCGCAACGAGCGCAACCCUCGACCUUAGUUGCCAGCAUUCAGUUGGGCACUCUAAGGUGACUGCCGGCUAAAAGUCGGAGGAAGGUGGGGAUGACGUCAAAUCAUCAUGCCCCUUAUGACCUGGGCUACACACCUGCUCCAAUGGGCGGUACAAAGGGUCGCGAACCCGCGAGGGGGAGCCAAUCCCAAAAAGCCGCUCUCAGUUCGGAUUGCAGGCUGCAACUCGCCUGCAUGAAGCCGGAAUCGCUAGUAAUCGCGGAUCAGCAUGCCGCGGUGAAUACGUUCCCGGGCCUUGUACACACCGCCCGUCACACCACGAGAGUUUGCAACACCCGAAGUCGGUGAGGUAACCC
This 1364-nucleotide ribosomal RNA is filed under the name Anoxybacillus sp. A321. Its description in RNAcentral is "16S ribosomal RNA". It matches the Rfam family "Bacterial small subunit ribosomal RNA", at positions 91 to 1441 of the family's 1533-position model. The record is from RNAcentral. Lineage: Bacteria; Bacillati; Bacillota; Bacilli; Caryophanales; Anoxybacillaceae.